GAGUAACGGACGUGCGAGGAUGAUGCUUGUGCAAGAAGGAAAUGACCGCUGUCCCGGCUCCGCGGGAGACGAACCCCGGCUUCCCGCCCUCAGGGACUAGCUCUCCAGGGAACUGGGACGCGCCCCCGGACCGUGCAGUUCUCUGCAGGACCAGGCCAUGGAGCUCGAAGUCCGGCGGGUCCGACAGGCGUUCCUGUCCGGCCGGUCGCGACCUCUGCGGUUUCGGCUGCAGCAGCUGGAGGCCCUGCGGAGGAUGGUGCAGGAGCGCGAGAAGGAUAUCCUGGCGGCCAUCGCCUCCGACCUGUGCAAGAGUGAAUUCAAUGUGUACAGUCAGGAAGUCAUUACUGUCCUUGGGGAAAUUGAUUUUAUGCUUGAGAAUCUUCCUGAAUGGGUUACUGCUAAACCAGUUAAGAAGAAUGUGCUCACCAUGCUGGAUGAGGCCUAUAUUCAGCCACAGCCUCUGGGAGUGGUGCUGAUAAUCGGAGCUUGGAAUUACCCCUUCGUUCUCACCAUUCAGCCACUGAUAGGAGCCAUCGCUGCAGGAAAUGCUGUGAUUAUAAAGCCUUCUGAACUGAGUGAAAAUACAGCCAAGAUCUUGGCAAAGCUUCUCCCUCAGUAUUUAGACCAGGUAAGAAUUUCUUGACUCAUCUC
RNAcentral lists this small RNA (651 nucleotides) under Pan troglodytes (chimpanzee). Its description in RNAcentral is "retained intron". The record is from RNAcentral. Lineage: Eukaryota; Metazoa; Chordata; Mammalia; Primates; Hominidae.